CGUGUGGUUCUAUUUUGUUGGUUUCUAGGACCGCCGUAAUGAUUAAUAGGGACAGUCGGGGGCAUCAGUAUUCAAUUGUCAGAGGUGGAAUUCUUGGAUUUAUUGAAGACUAACUACUGCGAAAGCAUUUGCCAAGGAUGUUUUCAUUAAUCAGGAACGAAAGUUAGGGGAUCGAAGACGAUCAGAUACCGUCGUAGUCUUAACCAUAAACUAUGCCGACUAGGGAUCGGACGAUGUUAUUUUUUGACGCGUUCGGCACCUUACGAGAAAUCAAAGUGCUUGGGCCCCAGGGGGAGUAUGGUCGCAAGGCUGAAACUUAAAGAAAUUGACGGAAGGGCACCACCAGGGGUGGAGCCUGCGGCUUAAUUUGACUCAACACGG
Molecule: ribosomal RNA, 381 nt
Filed under: uncultured fungus
Lineage: Eukaryota; Fungi
Description: SSU rRNA
Rfam family: Eukaryotic small subunit ribosomal RNA
Source: RNAcentral